RNAcentral lists this ribosomal RNA (368 nucleotides) under uncultured organism. RNAcentral's name for it is "bacterial LSU rRNA". It matches the Rfam family "Bacterial large subunit ribosomal RNA", at positions 2099 to 2465 of the family's 2925-position model. The record is from RNAcentral.
CUUUACUGUAGCUUUGCAUUGGACUUUGAACCGGUCUGUGUAGGAUAGGUGGGAGACUGUGAAGCCGGAACGCUAGUUUCGGUGGAGUCAACCUUGAAAUACCACCCUGGUUUGUUUGAGGUUCUAACCUUGGUCCGUGAAUCCGGACCGGGGACCGUGCAUGGUAGGCAGUUUGACUGGGGCGGUCUCCUCCCAAAAGGUAACGGAGGAGUACGAAGGUACGCUUAGGGCGGUCGGACAUCGCCCACAAAGUGCAAUGGCAAAAGCGUGCUUGACUGCGAGACCCACAAGUCGAGCAGGUACGAAAGUAGGUCAUAGUGAUCCGGUGGUUCUGUAUGGAAGGGCCAUCGCUCAACGGAUAAAAGGUA